RNAcentral lists this ribosomal RNA (1136 nucleotides) under Microbacterium flavescens. RNAcentral's name for it is "bacterial SSU rRNA". It matches the Rfam family "Bacterial small subunit ribosomal RNA", at positions 101 to 1249 of the family's 1533-position model. Lineage: Bacteria; Bacillati; Actinomycetota; Actinomycetes; Micrococcales; Microbacteriaceae. The record is from RNAcentral.
AACGGGUGAGUAACACGUGAGCAACCUGCCCCGGACUCUGGGAUAAGCGCUGGAAACGGCGUCUAAUACUGGAUACGAGCUUCAGCCGCAUGGCUAGGAGUUGGAAAGAUUUUUUGGUCUGGGAUGGGCUCGCGGCCUAUCAGCUUGUUGGUGAGGUAAUGGCUCACCAAGGCGUCGACGGGUAGCCGGCCUGAGAGGGUGACCGGCCACACUGGGACUGAGACACGGCCCAGACUCCUACGGGAGGCAGCAGUGGGGAAUAUUGCACAAUGGGCGGAAGCCUGAUGCAGCAACGCCGCGUGAGGGAUGACGGCCUUCGGGUUGUAAACCUCUUUUAGCAAGGAAGAAGCGAAAGUGACGGUACUUGCAGAAAAAGCGCCGGCUAACUACGUGCCAGCAGCCGCGGUAAUACGUAGGGCGCAAGCGUUAUCCGGAAUUAUUGGGCGUAAAGAGCUCGUAGGCGGUUUGUCGCGUCUGCUGUGAAAUCCCGAGGCUCAACCUCGGGCCUGCAGUGGGUACGGGCAGACUAGAGUGCGGUAGGGGAGAUUGGAAUUCCUGGUGUAGCGGUGGAAUGCGCAGAUAUCAGGAGGAACACCGAUGGCGAAGGCAGAUCUCUGGGCCGUAACUGACGCUGAGGAGCGAAAGGGUGGGGAGCAAACAGGCUUAGAUACCCUGGUAGUCCACCCCGUAAACGUUGGGAACUAGUUGUGGGGUCCAUUCCACGGAUUCCGUGACGCAGCUAACGCAUUAAGUUCCCCGCCUGGGGAGUACGGCCGCAAGGCUAAAACUCAAAGGAAUUGACGGGGACCCGCACAAGCGGCGGAGCAUGCGGAUUAAUUCGAUGCAACGCGAAGAACCUUACCAAGGCUUGACAUACACGAGAACGCUGCAGAAAUGUAGAACUCUUUGGACACUCGUGAACAGGUGGUGCAUGGUUGUCGUCAGCUCGUGUCGUGAGAUGUUGGGUUAAGUCCCGCAACGAGCGCAACCCUCGUUCUAUGUUGCCAGCACGUAAUGGUGGGAACUCAUGGGAUACUGCCGGGGUCAACUCGGAGGAAGGUGGGGAUGACGUCAAAUCAUCAUGCCCCUUAUGUCUUGGGCUUCACGCAUGCUACAAUGGCCGGUACAAAGGGCUG